CGGCGCACGGGUGCGUAACGCGUAUGCAAUCUACCUUUUACAGAGGGAUAGCCCAGAGAAAUUUGGAUUAAUACCUCAUAGUAUAUAGCCCUGGCAUGGUGAUUAUAUUAAAGUCACAACGGUGAAAGAUGAGCAUGCGUCCCAUUAACUAGUUGGUAAGGUAACGGCUUACCAAGGCUACGAUGGGUAGGGGUCCUGAGAGGGAGAUCCCCCACACUGGUACUGAGACACGGACCAGACUCCUACGGGAGGCAGCAGUGAGGAAUAUUGGACAAUGGGCGCAAGCCUGAUCCAGCCAUGCCGCGUGCAGGAUGACGGUCCUAUGGAUUGUAAACUGCUUUUAUACGAGAAGAAACACUCCUUCGUGAAGGAGCUUGACGGUAUCGUAAGAAUAAGGAUCGGCUAACUCCGUGCCAGCAGCCGCGGUAAUACGGAGGAUCCAAGCGUUAUCCGGAAUCAUUGGGUUUAAAGGGUCCGUAGGCGGUUUAAUAAGUCAGUGGUGAAAGCCCAUCGCUCAACGGUGGAACGGCCAUUGAUACUGUUAGACUUGAAUUAUUAGGAAGUAACUAGAAUAUGUAGUGUAGCGGUGAAAUGCUUAGAGAUUACAUGGAAUACCAAUUGCGAAGGCAGGUUACUACUAAUUGAUUGACGCUGAUGGACGAAAGCGUGGGUAGCGAACAGGAUUAGAUACCCUGGUAGUC
RNAcentral lists this ribosomal RNA (701 nucleotides) under uncultured bacterium. RNAcentral describes it as "bacterial SSU rRNA". It matches the Rfam family "Bacterial small subunit ribosomal RNA", at positions 96 to 795 of the family's 1533-position model. The record is from RNAcentral.